RNAcentral lists this ribosomal RNA (2900 nucleotides) under Klebsiella pneumoniae. RNAcentral's name for it is "bacterial LSU rRNA". It matches the Rfam family "Bacterial large subunit ribosomal RNA". RNAcentral also lists the same sequence under 1 other name. The record is from RNAcentral. Lineage: Bacteria; Pseudomonadati; Pseudomonadota; Gammaproteobacteria; Enterobacterales; Enterobacteriaceae.
UUAAGCGACUAAGCGUACACGGUGGAUGCCCUGGCAGUCAGAGGCGAUGAAGGACGUGCUAAUCUGCGAAAAGCGUCGGUAAGGUGAUAUGAACCGUUAUAACCGGCGAUGUCCGAAUGGGGAAACCCAGUGCAAUUCGUUGCACUAUCGUUAACUGAAUACAUAGGUUAACGAGGCGAACCGGGGGAACUGAAACAUCUAAGUACCCCGAGGAAAAGAAAUCAACCGAGAUUCCCCCAGUAGCGGCGAGCGAACGGGGAGCAGCCCAGAGUCUGAAUCAGCUUGUGUGUUAGUGGAACGGUCUGGAAAGUCCGACGGUACAGGGUGAUAGUCCCGUACACCAAAAUGCACAGGCUGUGAACUCGAAGAGUAGGGCGGGACACGUGGUAUCCUGUCUGAAUAUGGGGGGACCAUCCUCCAAGGCUAAAUACUCCUGACUGACCGAUAGUGAACCAGUACCGUGAGGGAAAGGCGAAAAGAACCCCGGCGAGGGGAGUGAAAAAGAACCUGAAACCGUGUACGUACAAGCAGUGGGAGCACCUUCGGGUGUGACUGCGUACCUUUUGUAUAAUGGGUCAGCGACUUAUAUUCUGUAGCAAGGUUAACCGUAUAGGGGAGCCGCAGGGAAACCGAGUCUUAACUGGGCGUUAAGUUGCAGGGUAUAGACCCGAAACCCGGUGAUCUAGCCAUGGGCAGGUUGAAGGUUGGGUAACACUAACUGGAGGACCGAACCGACUAAUGUUGAAAAAUUAGCGGAUGACUUGUGGCUGGGGGUGAAAGGCCAAUCAAACCGGGAGAUAGCUGGUUCUCCCCGAAAGCUAUUUAGGUAGCGCCUCGUGAACUCAUCUUCGGGGGUAGAGCACUGUUUCGGCUAGGGGGUCAUCCCGACUUACCAACCCGAUGCAAACUACGAAUACCGAAGAAUGUUAUCACGGGAGACACACGGCGGGUGCUAACGUCCGUCGUGAAGAGGGAAACAACCCAGACCGCCAGCUAAGGUCCCAAAGUCAUGGUUAAGUGGGAAACGAUGUGGGAAGGCACAGACAGCCAGGAUGUUGGCUUAGAAGCAGCCAUCAUUUAAAGAAAGCGUAAUAGCUCACUGGUCGAGUCGGCCUGCGCGGAAGAUGUAACGGGGCUAAACCAUGCACCGAAGCUGCGGCAGCGACACUAUGUGUUGUUGGGUAGGGGAGCGUUCUGUAAGCCUGCGAAGGUGUGCUGUGAGGCAUGCUGGAGGUAUCAGAAGUGCGAAUGCUGACAUAAGUAACGAUAAAGCGGGUGAAAAGCCCGCUCGCCGGAAGACCAAGGGUUCCUGUCCAACGUUAAUCGGGGCAGGGUGAGUCGACCCCUAAGGCGAGGCCGAAAGGCGUAGUCGAUGGGAAACAGGUUAAUAUUCCUGUACUUGGUGUUACUGCGAAGGGGGGACGGAGAAGGCUAUGUUAGCCGGGCGACGGUUGUCCCGGUUUAAGCAUGUAGGCUGGUUAUCCAGGCAAAUCCGGAUAAUCAAGGCUGAGGUGUGAUGACGAGGCACUACGGUGCUGAAGUAACAAAUGCCCUGCUUCCAGGAAAAGCCUCUAAGCAUCAGGUAACAUCAAAUCGUACCCCAAACCGACACAGGUGGUCAGGUAGAGAAUACCAAGGCGCUUGAGAGAACUCGGGUGAAGGAACUAGGCAAAAUGGUGCCGUAACUUCGGGAGAAGGCACGCUGGUGUGUAGGUGAAGUCCCUGCGGAUGGAGCUGAGACCAGUCGAAGAUACCAGCUGGCUGCAACUGUUUAUUAAAAACACAGCACUGUGCAAACACGAAAGUGGACGUAUACGGUGUGACGCCUGCCCGGUGCCGGAAGGUUAAUUGAUGGGGUUAUCCGUAAGGAGAAGCUCUUGAUCGAAGCCCCGGUAAACGGCGGCCGUAACUAUAACGGUCCUAAGGUAGCGAAAUUCCUUGUCGGGUAAGUUCCGACCUGCACGAAUGGCGUAAUGAUGGCCAGGCUGUCUCCACCCGAGACUCAGUGAAAUUGAACUCGCUGUGAAGAUGCAGUGUACCCGCGGCAAGACGGAAAGACCCCGUGAACCUUUACUAUAGCUUGACACUGAACAUUGAGCCUUGAUGUGUAGGAUAGGUGGGAGGCUUUGAAGCGUGGACGCCAGUCUGCGUGGAGCCAACCUUGAAAUACCACCCUUUAAUGUUUGAUGUUCUAACGUUGGCCCCUUACCGGGGUUGCGGACAGUGUCUGGUGGGUAGUUUGACUGGGGCGGUCUCCUCCCAAAGCGUAACGGAGGAGCACGAAGGUUAGCUAAUCCUGGUCGGACAUCAGGAGGUUAGUGCAAUGGCAUAAGCUAGCUUGACUGCGAGCGUGACGGCGCGAGCAGGUGCGAAAGCAGGUCAUAGUGAUCCGGUGGUUCUGAAUGGAAGGGCCAUCGCUCAACGGAUAAAAGGUACUCCGGGGAUAACAGGCUGAUACCGCCCAAGAGUUCAUAUCGACGGCGGUGUUUGGCACCUCGAUGUCGGCUCAUCACAUCCUGGGGCUGAAGUAGGUCCCAAGGGUAUGGCUGUUCGCCAUUUAAAGUGGUACGCGAGCUGGGUUUAGAACGUCGUGAGACAGUUCGGUCCCUAUCUGCCGUGGGCGCUGGAGAAUUGAGGGGGGCUGCUCCUAGUACGAGAGGACCGGAGUGGACGCAUCACUGGUGUUCGGGUUGUCAUGCCAAUGGCACUGCCCGGUAGCUAAAUGCGGAAGAGAUAAGUGCUGAAAGCAUCUAAGCACGAAACUUGCCCCGAGAUGAGUUCUCCCUGAGACUUUAAGUCUCCUGAAGGAACGUUAAAGACGAUGACGUUGAUAGGCCGGGUGUGUAAGCGCAGCGAUGCGUUGAGCUAACCGGUACUAAUGAACCGUGAGGCUUAACCUU